AACGAACGCUGGCGGCAUGCCUAACACAUGCAAGUCGAACGAGACCUUCGGGUCUAGUGGCGCACUGGUGCGUAACGCGUGGGAACCUGCCCUUAGGUUCGGAAGAACUCCCCGAAAGGGGUGCUAAUACCGGAUAAUGUCUUCGGACCAAAGAGUUAUCGCCUUUGGAUGGGCCCGCGUUGGAUUAGCUAGUUGGUAGGGUAAAAGCCUACCAAGGCGGCGAUCCAUAGCUGGUCUGGGAGGAUGAUCAGCCACACUGGGGCUGAGACACGUCCCAGACUUUGACGGAAGGGAGAAGUGGGGAAUAUUGGACAAUGGGCGAAUGCAUGAUCUAGCAAGGCCGCGUGAGUGAUGAAGGCGUUAGGGUUGUAAAGAUCUUUUAACCGGGAUGAUAAUGACAGUCCCGGGAGAAAAAGCCCGGGCAACUUCCGG
This 432-nucleotide ribosomal RNA is filed under the name uncultured bacterium. RNAcentral describes it as "partial 16S ribosomal RNA". It matches the Rfam family "Bacterial small subunit ribosomal RNA", at positions 29 to 506 of the family's 1533-position model. The record is from RNAcentral.